CAGCGGGAGGAAGUCCCGCCCGAGGAGGAAGUCGACCCCCUCGGUAGCUAUCUGGCGGGGACGAGAGGCGACUCUGGGACUCGAAGCCCAGAGACAGAAGGCCUCGAAAGGAGGUCGAGCGAGUUCGCAGGCCGCAACGUGA
Hyalangium minutum is the source of this 142-nucleotide non-coding RNA. NCBI's taxonomy places the organism in Bacteria, Pseudomonadati, Myxococcota, Myxococcia, Myxococcales, Archangiaceae. The record is from Rfam.